This 193-nucleotide ribosomal RNA is filed under the name Gonium pectorale. Its description in RNAcentral is "small subunit ribosomal RNA fragment S2". It matches the Rfam family "Bacterial small subunit ribosomal RNA", at positions 201 to 379 of the family's 1533-position model. Lineage: Eukaryota; Viridiplantae; Chlorophyta; Chlorophyceae; Chlamydomonadales; Volvocaceae. The record is from RNAcentral.
AAAAAGCUAGGCGUGCCUGUUUGGCCGUCGGGCAAAACUCGCGCAGAAUUAGGCUGUUGGGUGGGUGACGCUACUAAGGCUGCCCAAACCUUAUUCUUAGCCUGACUAGACGGUUUUAAGGCCACGGAGGCACUGAAAAAAGGGCCUAAGUCCUCAUGGAUGCAGCAGUAGUGAAUUUUUGGCAAUGGCUUGA